This 492-nucleotide ribosomal RNA is filed under the name uncultured bacterium. Its description in RNAcentral is "partial 16S ribosomal RNA". It matches the Rfam family "Bacterial small subunit ribosomal RNA", at positions 30 to 507 of the family's 1533-position model. The record is from RNAcentral.
CGAACGCUGGCGGCGUGCUUAACACAUGCAAGUCGAACGGUGAAGCGCCUUCCUUUUUGGUGGGUGUGGAUGAGUGGCGAACGGGUGAGUAACACGUGAGUAACCUGCCCCCUUCUUCUGGAUAACCGCAUGAAAGUGUGGCUAAUACGGGAUAUUCUGGGUCUGUCGCAUGAUGGGUCUGGGAAAGAUAUUGUUUCGGUGGGGGAUGGGCUCGCGGCCUAUCAGCUUGUUGGUGGGGUGAUGGCCUACCAAGGCGGUGACGGGUAGCCGGCCUGAGAGGGUGGACGGUCACACUGGGACUGAGACACGGCCCAGACUCCUACGGGAGGCAGCAGUGGGGAAUAUUGCACAAUGGGCGCAAGCCUGAUGCAGCGACGCCGCGUGAGGGAUGGAGGCCUGCGGGUUGUGAACCUCUUUCGCCAGUGAAGCAGGCCUGCCUCGUUUGUGGGUGGGUUGACGGUAGCUGGAUAAGAAGCGCCGGCUAACUACGUG